UAAUUUGAAGAAGGUAUCUUUGGGCCCGGCUCUUGUCUAUGUUCCUUGGAACAGGACGUCACAGAGGGUGAGAAUCCCGUGCGAUGAGAUGACCCGGGUCUGUGUAAAGUUCCUUCGACGAGUCGAGUUGUUUGGGAAUGCAGCUCUAAGUGGGUGGUAAAUUCCAUCUAAAGCUAAAUAUUGGCGAGAGACCGAUAGCGAACAAGUACAGUGAUGGAAAGAUGAAAAGAACUUUGAAAAGAGAGUGAAAAAGUACGUGAAAUUGUUGAAAGGGAAGGGCUUGAGAUCAGACUUGGUAUUUUGCAUGCUGCUCUCUCGGGGGCGGCCGCUGCGGUUUACCGGGCCAGCAUCGGUUUGGAGCGGCAGGAUAAUGGCGGAGGAAUGUGGCACGGCUUCUGCUGUGUGUUAUAGCCUCUGACGAUACUGCCAGCCUAGACCGAGGACUGCGGUUUU
This 453-nucleotide ribosomal RNA is filed under the name Candida albicans. RNAcentral's name for it is "LSU rRNA". It matches the Rfam family "Eukaryotic large subunit ribosomal RNA", at positions 146 to 575 of the family's 3401-position model. Lineage: Eukaryota; Fungi; Ascomycota; Pichiomycetes; Serinales; Debaryomycetaceae. The record is from RNAcentral.